Molecule: ribosomal RNA, 479 nt
Filed under: uncultured bacterium
Lineage: Bacteria
Description: partial 16S ribosomal RNA
Rfam family: Bacterial small subunit ribosomal RNA
Source: RNAcentral
ACGAACGCUGGCGGCGUGCUUAACACAUGCAAGUCGCACGAUGAACCUCGAAAUGAUUUCUUCGGAAAGAUUUUUGAGAGGAUUAGUGGCGAACGGGUGAGUAACGCGUGAGCAACCUGCCUUAGACAAGGGGAUAGCCUCGGGAAACCGUGAUUAAUACCCUAUGAGACUCCACUUACGAGUGUAAGAGAAGUUAAAGCUAUUGCGGUCUAAGAUGGGCUCGCGUCUGAUUAGCUAGUUGGUGAGAUAAAAGCCCACCAAGGCGACGAUCAGUAACCGGCUUGAGAGAGUGAACGGUCACAUUGGAACUGAGACACGGUCCAAACUCCUACGGGAGGCAGCAGUGGGGAAUAUUGCACAAUGGGGGCAACCCUGAUGCAGCGACGCCGCGUGAGCGAUGAAGGAAUUCGUUUCGUAAAGCUCUGUCCUUGGAGAAGAUAAUGACGGUAACCAAGGAGGAAGCACCGGCUAAAUACGUG